RNAcentral lists this ribosomal RNA (490 nucleotides) under uncultured bacterium. Its description in RNAcentral is "partial 16S ribosomal RNA". It matches the Rfam family "Bacterial small subunit ribosomal RNA", at positions 30 to 507 of the family's 1533-position model. The record is from RNAcentral.
AUUGAACGCUGGCGGCAGGCCUAACACAUGCAAGUCGAACGGUAACAGAAAGCAGCUUGCUGCUUUGCUGACGAGUGGCGGACGGGUGAGUAAUGUCUGGGAAACUGCCUGAUGGAGGGGGAUAACCACUGGAAACGGUAGCUAAUACCGCAUAACGUCGCAAGACCAAAGAGGGGGACCUUCGGGCCUCUUGCCAUCGGAUGUGCCCAGAUGGGAUUAGCUUGUUGGUGGGGUAACGGCUCACCAAGGCGACGAUCCCUAGCUGGUCUGAGAGGAUGACCAGCCACACUGGAACUGAGACACGGUCCAGACUCCUACGGGAGGCAGCAGUGGGGAAUAUUGCACAAUGGGCGCAAGCCUGAUGCAGCCAUGCCGCGUGUAUGAAGAAGGCCUUCGGGUUGUAAAGUACUUUCAGCGGGGAGGAAGGGAGUAAAGUUAAUACCUUUGCUCAUUGACGUUACCCGCAGAAGAAGCACCGGCUAACUCCGUG